GGGGUUGUGGCUCAGUGGUAAAGCGCUCACCUGGCACAUGUGAGGCACUGGGUUUGAUCCUCAGCACCACA
This 71-nucleotide transfer RNA is filed under the name Marmota monax (woodchuck). Its description in RNAcentral is "tRNA.Ala". The record is from RNAcentral. Lineage: Eukaryota; Metazoa; Chordata; Mammalia; Rodentia; Sciuridae.